GACGGAGGAUGCAAGUGUUAUCCGGAAUCACUGGGCGUAAAGCGUCUGUAGGUGGUUUAAAAAGUCUACUGUUAAAAAUUGAAGCUUAACUUCAAAGAUGCCGUAGAAACUUUUAAACUCGAGGAUGGUAGGGGUAGAGGGAAUUUCCAGUGGAGCGGUGAAAUGCGUAGAUAUUGGGAGGAACACCAGUGGCGAAGGCGGCUCACUGGACCGGAACUGACGCUGAGGCGCGAAAGCGUGGGGAGCAAACAGG
RNAcentral lists this ribosomal RNA (253 nucleotides) under uncultured bacterium. RNAcentral's name for it is "partial 16S ribosomal RNA". It matches the Rfam family "Bacterial small subunit ribosomal RNA", at positions 524 to 776 of the family's 1533-position model. The record is from RNAcentral.